UUCCAUUGUUUCAUGUCAGGAUGUCUUCUCGGCGUACUUUAUUGUCGCCAUGCAACACGAAGAGGUCUGUUACAACUUUGGUAGAUCGAGUAUCCCGCUUUUGAUUCCGGCACGUUUUGUGCCGGAUAUCUUUCGUUCAUUUCGUCGUUUUGACGAGGAACAACCUUUGGGGUUUUAAUGUUUCGUUUUGAGUUGAGCUUCGAGGAUGGCGCCUUCUUGGCGGAUGCAUCAAAUCAAUUAUCUCGAAUUUCUUAGUAACGCUUCAUACAUCC
RNAcentral lists this small nucleolar RNA (272 nucleotides) under Dactylellina haptotyla CBS 200.50. Its description in RNAcentral is "Small nucleolar RNA snR191". It matches the Rfam family "Small nucleolar RNA snR191". The record is from Rfam by way of RNAcentral. Lineage: Eukaryota; Fungi; Ascomycota; Orbiliomycetes; Orbiliales; Orbiliaceae.